This 272-nucleotide ribosomal RNA is filed under the name uncultured bacterium. RNAcentral's name for it is "partial small subunit ribosomal RNA". It matches the Rfam family "Bacterial small subunit ribosomal RNA", at positions 26 to 285 of the family's 1533-position model. The record is from RNAcentral.
AGAAUCAACGCUGGCGGCGUGCCUAACACAUGCAAGUCGAACGCGAAAGUGGAGCAAUCCAUGAGUAGAGUGGCAAACGGGUGAGUAACGCGUGGGCGACCUACCUCAGAGUGGGGGAUAACCUUCCGAAAGGAGGGCUAAUACCGCAUGACAUACCGUGUUUGGAUACACGGAUAUCAAAGCCGGGGAUCGCAAGACCUGGCGCUUGGAGAGGGGCCCGCGUCCGAUUAGCUAGUUGGUGAGGUAAUGGCUCACCAAGGCUCCGAUCGGUA